CCUUAGGUGUACCUCCGGGGAGGAUCUAUUAC
This 32-nucleotide ribosomal RNA is filed under the name Sclerotinia sclerotiorum. RNAcentral describes it as "partial 18S ribosomal RNA". Lineage: Eukaryota; Fungi; Ascomycota; Leotiomycetes; Helotiales; Sclerotiniaceae. The record is from RNAcentral.